AUCGUAACUCCUACGGGAGGCAGCAGUGGGGAAUUUUGGACAAUGGGCGAAAGCCUGAUCCAGCCAUGCCGCGUGUGUGAAGAAGGUCUUCGGAUUGUAAAGCACGUUAAGUUGGGAGGAAGGGCAGUAAGCUAAUACCUUGCUGUCUUGACGUUACCGACAGAAUAAGCACCGGCUAACUCUGUGCCAGCAGCCGCGGUAAUACAGAGGGUGCAAGCGUUAAUCGGAAUUACUGGGCGUAAAGCGCGCGUAGGUGGUUUGUUAAGUUGGAUGUGAAAGCACCGGGCUCAACCUGGGAACUGCAUCCAAAACUGGCAAGCUAGAGUAUGGUAGAGGGUGGUGGAAUUUCCUGUGUAGCGGUGAAAUGCGUAGAUAUAGGAAGGAACACCAGUAGCGAAGGCGACCACCUGGACUGAUACUGACACUGAGGUGCGAAAGCGUGGGGAGCAAACAGGAUUAGAAACCCUAGUAGUCCUAGAGC
This 481-nucleotide ribosomal RNA is filed under the name uncultured bacterium. RNAcentral describes it as "bacterial SSU rRNA". It matches the Rfam family "Bacterial small subunit ribosomal RNA", at positions 329 to 802 of the family's 1533-position model. The record is from RNAcentral.